Long non-coding RNA from Dreissena polymorpha, 907 nucleotides. RefSeq lists it as uncharacterized. The transcript is spliced from 4 exons. NCBI's taxonomy places the organism in Eukaryota, Metazoa, Mollusca, Bivalvia, Myida, Dreissenidae. The record is from RefSeq and is a predicted model, not a curated record.
AGUAAGUAUAACGUUUCAAGAUGGCGGAGCGAAUUGCAUGGUUAUUGUUUCUACUCGAUGGAUUCGCAGAUAAUUCGGAAAUAGAUCAGAUUGGGAUCAAUAACUGUAUUGCAUACGAUCAUUUACAUGUAUAACCAGGUGUGUGUUGCCAGUAAUGGUUGAAGAUAUGCCAAACAAAUUGUGCCUCUCUACAGACAGAUUUCAGGUCUCAAUUUCGACUUCAAAGGUCAACAUAUCACUGAUAUCAGGAAUUCUGUACAACUGUGGAACCAUGUAUGGUACGUGACCGCACAAUGUUGGUUGGCAAAAGGAUAUUGGAAUAAGCAAAGGGACUCAACAUUACACAGUCAUUUCAACAUGUAGUCUUGUCAGCAAUGAUGGAGCAGUACUUCAGAUUUCCAGAAUCUCGUCAUGAGCUGAAGAUCAUUGCCUAUGAAUUUCAUGAAUGAUGUAGAAUGAUUGGACUGUUGAUGGAACCCACAGUGCAUGUCCUGCUUCAACAUCUGAGCAUAGGUCCUUGUUUAUCAGCAGUUUAGUUCUUCAAGCAGUCUGUGACAGUAACUUGAAAUGUUUGGACAUAUGACCUGGAUGGCCAAGUUCUGUGCAUGAAGCCCAUUUAAAUAGGAACGGCCCAGUGGCGCAUUAAAUGGACAUUUUUCGAAUGUUCUCGAGGAUUCAGCUUACCGCCUGACAAGAAAUCUUGCUUUUUGUUCAGUAUUGAGGCCAUGGACAUUUGUAUCAUUUGCAAAAGAUACUGCGAUAUUUGUGCCUUUGUUCAUGCUUUAUAGUUGAUUAACAAUUGGAAGCCAUAACCUGUUUUAUAGGAUGGUGUUAGUGAGACAAUGAAUUUUGUAAAGAUUUAAAGACUGGAAAAGAUAAUUAAAAGUCAAAAGAGUUGUGCUAUUGU